CCCCUUUAGUAACGGCGAGUGAAGCGGCAAAAGCUCAAAUUUGAAAUCUGGUACCUUCGGUGCCCGAGUUGUAAUUUGGAGAGGGCAACUUUGGGGCCGUUCCUUGUCUAUGUUCCUUGGAACAGGACGUCAUAGAGGGUGAGAAUCCCGUGUGGCGAGGAGUGCGGUUCUUUGUAAAGUGCCUUCGAAGAGUCGAGUUGUUUGGGAAUGCAGCUCUAAGUGGGUGGUAAAUUCCAUCUAAAGCUAAAUAUUGGCGAGAGACCGAUAGCGAACAAGUACAGUGAUGGAAAGAUGAAAAGAACUUUGAAAAGAGAGUGAAAAAGUACGUGAAAUUGUUGAAAGGGAAGGGCAUUUGAUCAGACAUGGUGUUUUGUGCCCUCUGCUCCUUGUGGGUAGGGGAAUCUCGCAUUUCACUGGGCCAGCAUCAGUUUUGGUGGCAGGAUAAAUCCAUAGGAAUGUAGCUUGCCUCGGUAAGUAUUAUAGCCUGUGGGAAUACUGCCAGCUGGGACUGAGGACUGCGACGUAAGUCAAGGAUGCUGGCAUAAUGGUUAUAUGCCGCCCGUCUUGAACCACCCGAACCAA
This 582-nucleotide ribosomal RNA is filed under the name Saccharomyces cerevisiae (brewer's yeast). RNAcentral describes it as "partial large subunit ribosomal RNA". It matches the Rfam family "Eukaryotic large subunit ribosomal RNA", at positions 75 to 669 of the family's 3401-position model. Lineage: Eukaryota; Fungi; Ascomycota; Saccharomycetes; Saccharomycetales; Saccharomycetaceae. The record is from RNAcentral.